CUGCCCAGUGAUUUAAAUUUAACGGCCGCGGUACCCUGACCGUGCAAAGGUAGCAUAAUCAUUUGCCCUAUAAUUGAGGGCUAGUAUGAAUGGUUUGACAAGAGUAAUACUGUCUCCAUAAAAAUUUUUAGAAUUUAUUUUUUAGGUGAAGAAACCUAAAUAAAAUUAAAAGACAAGAAGACCCUAUCGAGCUUUAAAUCUAUUUAUAAAGUAAAAAAAAUUGAGAUAAUAUUUUUGAUUAUAAAAAAUUUUGGUUGGGGCGACUAAGGAACAAAAAAAGCUUCUUUAUGAAAUUUAAAUUUAUAAAUUAUGAUCCAUUAUUAUAAUGAUUAAAAGAAUUAGUUACCGUAGGGAUAACAGCAUAAUCCUUUUUGAGAGUUCUUAUCGAAAAAAGGGUUUGUGACCUCGAUGUUGGACUAGAAUAUCCUGAAAGAUGCAGAAGUCUUCGAGGGUUGGUCUGUUCGA
Molecule: ribosomal RNA, 465 nt
Filed under: Euspira nitida
Lineage: Eukaryota; Metazoa; Mollusca; Gastropoda; Littorinimorpha; Naticidae
Description: partial 16S ribosomal RNA
Rfam family: Bacterial large subunit ribosomal RNA
Source: RNAcentral